This 253-nucleotide ribosomal RNA is filed under the name uncultured bacterium. Its description in RNAcentral is "partial 16S ribosomal RNA". It matches the Rfam family "Bacterial small subunit ribosomal RNA", at positions 524 to 776 of the family's 1533-position model. The record is from RNAcentral.
UACGUAGGGGGCGAGCGUUGUCCGGAUUUAUUGGGCGUAAAGCGCGCGCAGGCGGUGCGGUAAGUCUGUCGUGAAAUCUCCCGGCUCAACUGGGAGGGUGCGGUGGAGACUGCCGGACUGGAGGCACUCAGAGGCCGGUGGAAUUCCCGGUGUAGUGGUGAAAUGCGUAGAGAUCGGGAGGAACACCAGUGGCGAAGGCGGCCGGCUGGGGGUGACCUGACGCUGAGGCGCGAAAGCGUGGGGAGCGAACCGG